Molecule: non-coding RNA, 1555 nt
Organism: Salmo salar (Atlantic salmon)
Lineage: Eukaryota; Metazoa; Chordata; Actinopteri; Salmoniformes; Salmonidae
Source: RefSeq, a predicted model, not a curated record
AUUAAAAUGAGUUGUGAAAGUUUGAACGCUGAAUUAAAUAUUUUCUCAUAUUCAGCAAUUAAUCGAACUGUAAGGAUUCUUUAACAAAUUAGCAGUCAUUUUGUUUUCAUAGUUUAGUUGCAAAAUAUAUAUAUUUUUUUUUAUAAAAAACGGAUUUAAUGGAACUACUUUAUUUUGACCAACCGGUUGUGAUGAGGCAGUUGUCAUAUGACCCAAAACUGCAUUCUCCGUGGCGUGUUAUUGAGUGUAGCCAGCAGCAAAUUCAACGGAGACAACUAAAUCGAUGGCUGAAUUUAAUUAAUGUGUUUAUAGUGCAGAGCUGGAAAUAAUAGUUGUGGGACUGUAAUAAUUCCUCCCAGUGUCUAAUCACACUUCAAGGUCAAGCAGCUGAGACAACGAUGGGGAAUGGAGAUGCAGUUACUCAUCUUACCACUUGAGGGCAGCGAAGUGUAAGAUUUGGCAGUGAAUCUUAUUGCAAAACAGAAUAUCACCAUUAUUACUUGUCCGGUCUUAAUUUAAAACUGGUCCCCCUUUCCUGAGCAUUCUGUCAUACAGUCCCACAAAAUACAAGCAGACAAAACACCACAACUGGGAUGCUUUUUGAGAGCACCGUGAUUCUGUUUGAAGUUACAAAGGAGAGACAGGUAAAAGUGGUCAAUACUGACAAGUGUUUUAUUAGUAACACAGACCUGGGGACUGAGCCAAAAAGAAGCAGUCUUGACAAGACUGAAAUUGUUCAAAUGUCAUUGAAAAGACAGGCGCAGACAAUGGAACCAAUACGGUCAGGGGAACAGGCAACAAUCAAAAGGGAUGCUCAUUCUGCUUCAAAUAGAAAACAACAAAGUAAAAAUGCAGAAAUUAAGUGCAAAUCUCAAAUUGAAAUGUAUCAGGCAUAAGAUUUUCAAUAAUGGAGUUGUCUAUGUCAUCAUGGUAACUGAAAUAUUUUUUUAACCAUUAUUUUCUUUCAUAAGUUCUUCAGUCCAUCCUUACAUCCUACAAGGGGUUUUGGAGGAACAAGUUUGAGAUAAAUGAUCAUGUCUAACCAACAGUCAUUUGAUUUAAAAAAAUAAAAAUAGACUGCUUUAUACUUCAUCCAGAGAGGUCUGUGUUGUGUAGCAAAUCUUCAUUGCGUAGAACUACCUGUCAUAACUCGAUCAUUGGUACCCCCGACAUGAAUUACCCUGGUUGAUUGACAGGGCCUAUAUUCCCCCAAUCAAAACUAUCAUCCUCCAUCUAAUCCUGUCGUCCGGUUCCUCUUGGCCAUCUUAACAGAAGUAAAGUCCAGUACCAAGUUGAGAAAGAGAGAGUAAAAUAACAGGCGUCAUUAGAGGUGCAGUCCAGACUAAUGACAUGUAAGAAAAAAAGGAUGGAAACUUGUCUAGUUCAUUGCCUUGCUGUCCCUAUUAUUUUUGUAACGUCAAAAGUUUAGCAUGACGAACAAACGUGAGCAUUCUCCCAUCUCAUGUACAAAAAACUCAGCCCCAUGCGUACUUACACAGAGUCAGUAUUAGGAACUAAGGCAGAGAGACUCCAUUUAGUUUUUUCAAAAAUCAUA